GACGAACGCUGGCGGCGUGCUUAACACAUGCAAGUCGAACGGAAAGGCCCUGCUUUUGUGGGGUGCUCGAGUGGCGAACGGGUGAGUAACACGUGAGUAACCUGCCCUUGACUUUGGGAUAACUUCAGGAAACUGGGGCUAAUACCGGAUAGGAGCUCCUGCUGCAUGGUGGGGGUUGGAAAGUUUCGGCGGUUGGGGAGGGACUCGCGGCUUAUCAGCUUGUUGGUGGGGUAGUGGCUUACCAAGGCUUUGACGGGUAGCCGGCCUGAGAGGGUGACCGGCCACAUUGGGACUGAGAUACGGCCCAGACUCCUACGGGAGGCAGCAGUGGGGAAUAUUGCACAAUGGGCGGAAGCCUGAUGCAGCAACGCCGCGUGCGGGAUGACGGCCUUCGGGUUGUAAACCGCUUUCGCCGGUGACGAAGCGUGAGUGACGGUAAUGGGUAAAGAAGCACCGGCUAACUACGUG
RNAcentral lists this ribosomal RNA (468 nucleotides) under uncultured bacterium. RNAcentral describes it as "partial 16S ribosomal RNA". It matches the Rfam family "Bacterial small subunit ribosomal RNA", at positions 28 to 507 of the family's 1533-position model. The record is from RNAcentral.